CGUAGCCACGGGAAAACGAAGGGUGCGAGCGUUAAUCGGAACUACUGGGCGUAAAGCGUGCGUAGGCGGUUUGUUAAGUCUGCUGUGAAAUCCCCGGGCUCAACCUGGGAAUGGCAGUGGAUACUGGCAAGCUAGAGUGUGUCAGAGGAUGGUGGAAUUCCCGGUGUAGCGGUGAAAUGCGUAGAGAUCGGGAGGAACAUCAGUGGCGAAGGCGGCCAUCUGGGACAACACUGACGCUGAGGCACGAAAGCGUGGGGAGCAAACAGGAUUAGAUACCCGGGUAGUCCCUGUCUCUUAUACA
This 301-nucleotide ribosomal RNA is filed under the name uncultured bacterium. RNAcentral describes it as "partial 16S ribosomal RNA". It matches the Rfam family "Bacterial small subunit ribosomal RNA", at positions 510 to 808 of the family's 1533-position model. The record is from RNAcentral.